RNAcentral lists this long non-coding RNA (3019 nucleotides) under Sus scrofa (pig). Its description in RNAcentral is "lncRNA (ENSSSCG00000056067.1)". Lineage: Eukaryota; Metazoa; Chordata; Mammalia; Artiodactyla; Suidae. The record is from RNAcentral.
UCCUAGUCAGAUUCCUUAACCACUGUGCUACGAUGGGAACUCCUAUCUCUUUUAUUUCUGAGUCUGUUCCUUUCUGACUCAUCUUUCUCCUGGAUGUGGAUCACAUCUUCCUGUUUCUUCGCAUGUCUACUCAUUUUUUUUUUUUUUUUUGGAGUGCAUUUUUUUUUAAACUUUAUUGAGAUGUAAUUUACAAAUUAUAAAGCUAACCCACUUUAAGUAAUUCAGUUAGUUCUUUGUAUAUUAUGGACAUAAAUCCUUUUAAGACACAUGACAUGCAAAUAUUUUCUCACAAUCUAUGACUUAUCUUUUUACUUUCUUUUUUGGCCACCUUGCAGAAUAUGGAGUUCUUGGGCCAGGGAUCAGAUCUGAGCCACAGCUGCAAGUGCCGAAACAGGAGCAAUGCCGGAUCCUUAUCCCACUGUUUGGGGCCGGGCCCAGGGAUUGAACCUGUGUUCCACCCCUGCAGAGAUACUACUGCCUGUUGUGCCACAGAGGGAACUCCUUCUUUUUCUUUUCUUUUUUAGUCGAGGUAUAGUUGACUUAGAAUGUUGUGUUAGUUUCAGGGGUAGAGCAAAGUGAUUUGGUUAUACAUUAUCUAUUCUUUUUCAGAUUCUUUCCCCUUAUAGGUUAUUACAAAAUACUGAGUAUAGUUCCCUGUGCUGAACAGUAGUUGAUGUUUGUUUUGGUAGGCAGUAAACUCACAGCUUAGCUUGAUCCUUUCUAGACUUGUUUUUAAGCUUUCUGAGGUCUGGUCCACUCCACUACUAAGGCACGACAAUUCUGGGAUUGCUCUAAAUGCCCUCACAUUCAAUGAGUCCUCUCCACUUCUGGCCCCAGGAACUCAAAACAUCUCCUACGCCUAAAUUGGCUCUGGGAACUGUUCAGCUUUUAGCCACCUGGCAGCUGUCCUAUUUUUGGCUUUGUGGAGCUUUAGCUAAGUGUUUACAGAUAAAUACUCCAUCACAGACUUCAGAAGAACUCAGAGAGAUUUCUGGAAAACUUUGUCUGUACAGCUCCCUCCUCUCUGAUACCAGCUCUGCUCCAUGAAUUCCAGCUGCCUCAGCCUCCCCAAGUGCAUCUUUGUCUCUUCAACUCUGCCAGACUCCCAGAUUCUCUCUGGGUUCAUUUCCCUGUGCUAAAGUCUAGCAAUUGCUGCAGGUAGAAAUCCAGGACAACGGUAGGGAGGACUCACCUAGCUCAUUUCCUUUCCCUCAGAGGUCACAGCACUGCCCUGUUGUUAUCAAAGGAUUCAUGCAUUUUCUCCAGUUUGCUUGCUGCUUAUACUGGGAGGGUGCGACCUGAACCACUUACUACUUAAUCCGCAGGUGGAUUUCUACUUGCCUGGUUUCCAAGGCUCAGUUCAGCCAGCAUCUCCCCUGGGAAACCUUUUGGUUCCAGCAUUUUUUUGUAAGGGCUGCGCUGUCAUCUACUCAUUUAGGCUCUUGAUGCUCCUUUUACACCCACUCCGGGACUGCGAGGUACUUAGGGUGUGAAUUGCAAUAGCUUGGUGUCUUUCAUUCCUACCGCAACACUUGGGACAUAGCAGCUGCUCAGUAAUUGUUCACUGAUAAAAUGAGUAAAUUGCACGGCUUUAAGGUUUGCCAAGAGCGCUCUCCACUCAUCCCCUAAGUCUUCUCCCUGGUCUCUCAAACUCUGGAACAACUUAACUGUAAACCCUCUUUGCCCGCUGGACUUCGCUGCAACGAAACUGGCUGGCGGCCAUGCAGUGGUAGACCCUCCUGCCUUGGUGGUACCUGGCGAAGCAGUGCGUGGGGUGCAGGGUGUGAUGCGUCACUUCCGGCGAGGGUGGGGCAGCAGUGUGUUCAGUAUCCUCAAUUUCCGCUUCUGCAUGGACGUGGAGGCGCAGGUACACGUGGGCCCGAAUUGCUCGCCACUGCCGUGGAGGCUCCGCUAGGGCCAUACCUGUUUGGGAGGUGUAAGUCAGUACAGCCGUGGGGUUCACUUGCGAUAGCAGCUAAUGUUGCUCCGUCUCAUGUCUCUUUGAAAAAGGGGGGUGAAUUUUCAUUUUCCUUACUGCGCACUUGGUAGCCCCAGUGUGCAUCUGAGGAUGCUUCAAAGCCCACACGUCCAAGCCUGAGCUGUUUUCCCGGGCAAAACUGUUUUCCUGUGCUCUUUAUCCCGGCCGGUGGGUAAUUAUCCAUCUAUUCCUAACAACCUCCUUCUCUCCCCCUCAGCAUCCAAUCGCCUAUCAGCUUAGUCCGUUUUACUUUUUAAAUAUGCCUUUGAUCUGUCCACCUCUUUCUGUUCUCACUGCAACCACACUAAACCAAGUUGUUCAUAUCUUUCAUGAGGACCAGUGCUGCAGCCGCAUUCUGUUUAUUCCCUGGCCCAAGACUGCCUCUUAAUCAAUACAUUUUUCAGACUUGAUUUUUUCAAAGCCAGUGACUCCUAAACCAAUUCCCACUCCCUACUCUUGAGAUCUCAUAACAGAAAGUAACACUUUUUAGUAGCUCUGGCCACGGUAAUCAUUUUUAUUUACCUAUGUGAUUCUUUAAUAUGUUUUCUCACACAGAGCUAACAGAAACAUCUUUUAAAAAAUUAAUUAAUUCAGUUCUAUUUACUUAUUUUUGGCUGCAUACUUAAGGUGCUUGAUGUGGGGGUCUCAGUUCCCAGGAAUGAAGGAUUGAACUGAGGCUGCAGCAGUGUAAGGGCCAAGUUCCAACCACUAGACCACCAGGGGACUCCCAGGAAAUGUCUCUCUCUUUUUUUGGUGCUUAUCACUGGAUCUUCGAUAGGUCUUUGUGUACAACUUAAAUGUUUUCUAAAUGAGUAUCUGAUUUUCCCUAAAAUAUUUCUUGGACAAUCCUUCCUUUCUCUACUUUAAAUACUUUUUUCUCAGGAGUUUCCCUCGUGGUGCAGGGGAAAUGAAUCUGACUAGUAUCCAUGAGGAUGUGUGGGUUUGAUCCCUGGCCUUGUUCAGUGGGUCAGCAAUCUGGUGUUGCCGUGAACUGUGGUGUAGGCCACAGAUAGAACUUGGAUCCCGUGUUGCUGUGGCUGA